RNAcentral lists this non-coding RNA (24 nucleotides) under Arabidopsis thaliana (thale cress). The record is from RNAcentral. Lineage: Eukaryota; Viridiplantae; Streptophyta; Magnoliopsida; Brassicales; Brassicaceae.
GACAGACUUCCUAAACAAAUGUGA